Transfer RNA from Camelus ferus (Wild Bactrian camel), 72 nucleotides. It matches the Rfam family "tRNA". Rfam says of the family: Transfer RNA (tRNA) molecules are approximately 80 nucleotides in length. Their secondary structure includes four short double-helical elements and three loops (D, anti-codon, and T loops). Lineage: Eukaryota; Metazoa; Chordata; Mammalia; Artiodactyla; Camelidae. The record is from Rfam.
UGAAGUAUAGCUCAGUAGUAGAGUGCAUGCUUAGCAUGCACGAGGUCCUGGGUUCAAUCCCCAGUACCUCCA